Molecule: long non-coding RNA, 1597 nt
Organism: Oryzias latipes (Japanese medaka)
Lineage: Eukaryota; Metazoa; Chordata; Actinopteri; Beloniformes; Adrianichthyidae
Source: RefSeq, a predicted model, not a curated record
GUACGUGUCUCUGCCUCUAUUGUACACAGCAAAAUCUGCAGUGUUGAUUUGUGUUGAAUUUUCCAGUGUUAAAUAUUUCGAGUUGAUUAGUGUUGAUCUUAGUGUUGUUUUGAGCACAUCCAGUGUUAAAACAGAUUUGGGGGCGGAGCUUUGUGCUGCAACGGCUGACGGAGUUAUUUCAAACUCUGUUGGCGGUUUUUUCUCGGAGAGCGGAGGAGGAAAGUCGUCUGCUACAUUCAUUUCAAAAGGAGUUUCUGUUAACUGCCACUAUGCUGCUAUAAUACAUCCGAUUACAGUCAGGAUUUACCUAUGCAGAUCUCAUCUGUGAAGUAAAAAACAAGUUUGGACUUCCGGAUGGAACUGAGCUUCACAUUUUUGACGUCUCUGACACAGCAGUGGAGGAAGAUGUUCUUCUUGAACUUAUAGAAAGCAAACCUGACCUGUGUCUGACUGUUUGUGACAGCAUAUCAGAAAAACAUUCAUGUCCAUCCACCCUCCCUGAAGAACAGUCAGUCACUUUAAGUGUGACCGACUUCUUUAGAGAGCUAAGCAAAAAAAUCAUUGAGGAGGCCAAACACCUGACACGGACAAAUGAAUUGUUUCAACUUUUGAAAGCUGCUGAAAAAUUAGCAGAGAAUGAUGAGACCAACUGGGACAGUGAUAUGGCUUCACUGCUGCUCCUUCUUCAUCUGUUGCCACCCACAGCAGGACGAAAGAGGAUUAAAAUAAGCCCCAAUGAUGCUGUGCCUAAAAUGGUGCACUUUCAUAAGUCAUGUUGCAGCAUUGGUGAACACCUGCAACAACGUGAAGGCAAACAACCUUGCCAUUGGCAGAACCCAGAACAAAAUUGAGACCAACAUCGUUGUGGACAAACAGCUCAUUCCCUGCCAAGCCACUAGUUCACUGGGCGCGUUUGAUGAACUGUUUAAAUCCCACUAUUUUUUCAACUUGUCCUAUGAGGAAUCCCUGGUCCAGCUCUACACUUUUGUUCAAACAACCAUCUUUAACAUUGAUGUCACAACAACAGACGAGUCUCCGAGAGUUCGUGAGUUGCGUGCUAAACUGCUCAACUAGCUUAAAAAUGUUUAAGUGUUUCAUUUGUCAGGCUGUUCAUGUGACCUGUAAGUCUUUGACAAUCCAUUUAAGACUUGACCAUAGUUUUUAUCCAAGCACCAGGUUUAAGUUGCUUUGUGCACAGGGUUGUUGUAGGCGUCAGUUUUCAACUUAUUCUGGUUUCAAAAAGCAUUUGGAAACUGUUCACGUUACAGAGUGGUAAUUCAGCAAACUUGGAACCAUUUGAGGCUUCUUUCAAUGACACAACAGAAGUAAAUUCGGCAGAUGAAACUCUGAGGUCACAUUUCAAUGAGCAUUUAUGAGCGUACAAAGUGUUUGUUAGUAAUGAAAAUGAUUUCAUUAAAGCAGACAGUCUUGCCAUUCACAGGCCAUUCAACUUACAAAGUGCCUACAGUGAAGACAACAGCAUUUAUAUUGUACCUCUGUCUUUGUUGUAAUGAUGGUCAAGUUUACCUUGUGCUCAAAAUGUUAUUGUGCUUGGAGGAUUUCUUACUCUUAAUAAAGAGUUUAAAGCUUUCUCAAA